UUUUGGACAAUGGGCGCAAGCCUGAUCCAGCCAUGCCGCGUGAGUGAAGAAGGCCUUCGGGUUGUAAAGCUCUUUCGGCAGGCCCCCAAAUGGUUCGUGCUAAUACCGCGGACUGAUGACGGUACCUGAAGAAGAAGCACCGGCUAACUACGUGCCAGCAGCCGCGGUAAUACGUAGGGUGCAGGCGUUAAUCGGAAUUACUGGGCGUAAAGCGUGCGCAGGCGGUUUCUUAAGUCAGAUGUGAAAGCCCCGGGCUUAACCUGGGAACUGCGUUUGAAACUGGGAGACUUGAGUGUGGCAGAGGGGGGUGGAAUUCCACGUGUAGCAGUGAAAUGCGUAGAUAUGUGGAGGAACACCGAUGGCGAAGGCAGCCCCCUGGGUUAACACUGACGCUCAUGCACGAGG
This 405-nucleotide ribosomal RNA is filed under the name uncultured bacterium. Its description in RNAcentral is "bacterial SSU rRNA". It matches the Rfam family "Bacterial small subunit ribosomal RNA", at positions 362 to 758 of the family's 1533-position model. The record is from RNAcentral.